UAUCUAUCAUCUAUCUAUCUAUCAUUUAUCUAUAUGUAUGAAGAUAGAGCAUGUUUAGAUAUAAAAUAUUUAUGGAUCACUCAUGAAGUUGCAGUGGUUGUCAUCAUUGAAAAUAAAGCAUCAGUUUAAUUACUUUGAUUCAUAUAUAACCAAACAGGCUAUAGCUAGUGUGCAUUCUUGUAUAUGAAUGCAUGGAAAUAUAAUACCUUGUUUUAAGACAGCAUUUUAAAUGCUAUCUCUUUAACCUGAAUUCAGUGACCAGAAAGAGCAAGUAUAAAUUCUGACCUCUGGCCAUCGAAACAGCAAUAGCAAGCAGUAUUUGCUUGCAAGUGGAUGGUGCCUGGCAGAGGAGAAAAAAACAAGAACAAAACCAAUAAACACAAGAUACAGGAACCUCACAGACUCAAAGAAGCCCAGUCAAAAACAAAAUAAUUGGUGCCUACCAGCAUUCAUACAUUCAACUAUCCUCACUGCUUUCCAUCUAGACACCCAAGUAUAGAAAGGAACCUAUGGAUAGACCUGAUACCAUGGAGUCAUCUGCACAUAGAAGACAGAAAAACUAUUCCAAAUAAUUAAAUUCAAGAAGCAGGUUGUCUUGCCCUUUAACAUAAUGGGGAUGGACAUAUUUUAUUAAAUAAGUGGUGGAAUGAUGGUGGGUUAGGGGCUGGGGCAGAUUUUGGGUGUUCUAUAUCCAGUGAUCCACUGGGAAAUUUCAUAAGAAAAAAAAAGGUGUGGUUUGGAGGAAAAGGAAGAAGGUGAUGAUCUGCCAUGCUGGAGUCAAGUGCAUUUGGGGAGAGAAAGAAAUAGGGAUUACUAUUUUAGCUAGAGUAUCCCUUCCUAUAAAUUGUACAGGACAGUUUAAUUCUACUAGAAAUAGGUUGAAUAAGAGGAUAUCCCUAAAACAACUGAUAAGUGGUGGAGUCUGAUGAAAUUGUUACUACUAUUUCCUUAUGUUAACAAUAAAAAAAUCUAGAGGAGAAUUGAAUCUCCAAAACUUUUAUCAGGACUGAAAAUGUGGUGACAGUAUGUAGAAGGAAGGAGCUGGAUCACUCUAAUGCUGUGAUUACUACCUGAGGCUUCCUCUCAGAGAUGAUGUCGGUUAGGACAGGAGAACCUGAGCAACCUCAGUCAUCUAUGGCCAGACCUAGAAGGUUAGCUAGAAAGUGAUCUGGUCUUGAUGUCCUCAUGCUGAGGAGGACAGGAGGACAAUAGGGAAGGGUUGGACACAACCAAAAGUGCCACAAAUGACCAGAGAAAUGGUGGGAUUAUAGGCACAUUGAAUAGAAGGCAAAAGAACAGAGUGGGAAGGCGCACAAAAGUCCUGUUAGAUUAAGAAACUACAGGAUUUCAGCUCCCAUGGUGGGAGGCUGAAUGGAGUCAAGUGAAGAGAGGGCCAGCAUAAACUUGAAGUCCAUGUCUAGAGAUAUUUUCACAUCCAAAAGUACCAGAGGUGUGCUGGACCCUCACCAGUCAUUUCCUUGGACUCAGGAAUAUAUUGUCACUGAGGAAAGAGGAAACUUACCUAAUUUCCACCACUGGAUGGUGGUCUAAGUGACUGAUGGAUUGGAAGUUAUGUUUGUUGCAGGUAGCCUGCAGUCAACAACUCCAGUGCAGAAUGGACCCUGAAGAGGAAUUCAAGCACCAACAGAGCCUAUGCAACCACAUCUUGUAUAUAAUUCAUCUGCAUGGUCACAAAUAGAAAGUGAAGAUCAACCACAAUGACUUCAAAUGGGACUCUAUUCUGCAGAUGCUUAUCUUCAGAUCUCAGCCUGGACAUGAUUUGCAAUAGUGCAGACAAAGACUAUAUUUAAACAAUUUUAGAGUUAUGGAGGUUUGCUGUGACGUAUGGAGGUUGAUAAAGCAGAACUGAGUUCCCUGACCUGGGUGAUACUUCUUUCUGAAAGAAAUUUCUAAGAAAAAAAUGGAGAAAAGAACCUGGGAUCUUACCCAUCAUUGAAUAUCAGCCCUCAAAGUGACAUCACUACCGAGGCAUGUAACACAAGGGAGAGAUGAGAAAGAGCCUAUGGUGGUCUCACCCAUCUCAGACAUCCAGGCUUUGCUCACUUCCUUAGGGGUUGCACAAUCAGGAUUUUCAGGGCUUUCAGGAUUUUCAAGAACCAUCAGCAACUGGAGGGUCAUCUUAUUUGUGGAGUAUUGCCUGGAAAUAUGAUGUGUGAGGUACUUAAAAUAAUUAUCAGUAGGACAAUUCUUCCCAUCAUAGCAUAAAUGGCUAUUCAUGAGGGGACAAACACCCUCUUAAAAUUGUCCUACACUUUUCUCAAGAAUAUGACAUCUAGGAAAAGCAAAGAGAACAUGAUUAGUUUGGCUAUGUUCUUCUUUAGCAGCACAUAGUAGCUAAGGGGUUUGUUUGACUAGGUGCCUUAAAUAUAUUGAACCACAUGUGGUUGAGCUUCAGUAACAUUAUGUACCUGGAAAAUGGUUAGGAAUAUUUAGUGAGACCUGGAAUCACAGGUCAAUAUAGAAAUGUUAGUAACAAUGCCAACUCUGCUGUCAUUAAGUCAAUCUGUUAUAAAAUGUGAAUGGCUUCAUAAAGUUGAUGAUCUAUUACCUCCUGUGCCUGUAGUGCUUCAGAUGACUUAGAGAUUAUGACAUUGACAUUCUCUGCCAUAAUGUCCGUCUGAGUCAAUGCAAUAAUAUCUGGUGUCAACCAUGCAGUGCCUGCAGUGAUGGCUGGUCCAUUGUUGAAUACCACAUCCAGCAAGUUGUCAGGAGAAGUUUUCAUUAAAACAGUUAAGACUGAUCUGAUAAUAAUGACCAUAAAUAAAAAAGGGAGGUCAGACACAGACUACUGUGAUUUUUCAGCCAACCUGGCUGCCAGGAGUCACAUUCACAAGGGUUGUCCAUUUUAUGCUUAAGACAAUCACUUUAUAUGGAAAUAUAUCCCAUUAACAAGAUGGCCACAUUUUAGGAGAGCAAGGGGGCAUAAAUCAAGACUGUUAGAGGGGUCACAUAAAUACCAAUAGUUAUAAUGGACUCAUGUCAGAAUUGAAUAGAAUCCCUGUUAACAAAGGGAAUAAUAUUGGAAGGAUCAUGUGAGGUAAACAUUCACAUGAAAUUUUUGAGGUUAGAUGACAGUAUCAGGUAGUCCCUGGUAAAUCUUACACCUAGUGCAGCUUGGCAGUGCUCCAAAAAGAUAGGAAGUCACACAAAAAAUAGGCAUUUGAGGAAUCCUUGCACAGUGAGGUGAACAUAAUGUGCUUGGGGAAACUUUUGGUAUUUGUAAUCAAUACGGGGAAAUGUGAAGUUUCAUACCUAACAUGAUGCUAUAGGUUAGCUUACCAUGAAAGUUCCCCAUGGUUACAUUAUACAGUUAAAUACAAGAGCCAAUGGUUGAGAAAUUGAUGGUAAAGCAGAAAGUUUCCUCUGUGGGAUGCUUGCCUUUUAAUCACCAUUUUGUAGUGACUACAUCCACAAAGGGCAAACUGAAAUUCACAUUGCAAGAAAAAACAACAAGGUAGUGCUGGAAAUUAACUGCAGCCAGCAAAAUAAUUGGCCACUGGUCCACCCAGAUAUCAGUUUCAGAUAGCCAGGACAAUUUUACAGGGUCAGGUACCUUGAUGUCGAUUGGCACUGGGUGGGCAGUGGCCAUUAUAAUUGGGGUUGAUCCACAAUUUUUGAUCCACUUGGUCAUGUUGUAUUAUGUCUUCAAAAAAGCCAAGUAUUUGUAGUAAGGACAUCACUCAUGUCUUCUAGAAUAUCUCUUGCCCAGAUGUUGCAGGGAAUAUCAGCCAUAACAGGUGUAAAAGACCCCUAUUUGCAAUCUAAGUCCUGCCAAGAAACAGGGUCGUAGUCACUCUUGUGCCUUGUUGGGCUCCCACUCCUGUAAUGGAGGGAACAGGCUGCAAUCUCCAAUGUGGUAACCUCAAUGAAUCAUUUUAUGUUAUUAUUGUGACAUCUGCCCCUGUGUGAAGCAAUCUUUUAACAAUCUAAAUGUAUACUCAUCAUUUUGAAAUGAGCAAACACAGGCAAGGUCCAAAUACUCCUGGACAAGAAGGGUUCCCUCUUACUGGCAGGGCUAAAGAGUGUCCCCUUUGAAAUUUACAUUGUCUUCCUGCUUUUGAGAACAGCAAUCCUUAGCCCAUUGGAAAUCUUUUUUACACCUGAGACAACUGGUCUUGGACCUAGUUGAAGAACAAUACUGUCUGAGUUGACAAGGCUUGCCACAACCUCAACAGGUGCAAUCAGGUGGCCUUUCAGGAGGAAGGUUUCUCUUCUGUACACACUCCAUGACCAAAGCAGCAAUGAAAGCAGUCAGUACUGUAAUGGGGCCUGCACCAGGGUCCAAAUCAUGAGGGUGAACAACCUUUAUAUGGAUAACAUCAUUGCUUCAGUCUGCCAUAGCAUUUCCAGUAGCAAUGUUAAGGCCCUGCCAUUCAAGCUGCUUGAUGAUCAUGUCUCUGGGGACAUCACUGACCAUCCUUUUCUCUGCCUCAGUCACACAGGCCAGAAGACUCUGAAGGACUCCCAAGACUGCUGGUUAAUUCUAGCCUGAUUCUCAGCAAAGUCACAAUAUUCAGACUUCCAAUUAAGAAACAUGGGUGGUUUUAACACCACCUUCUGAAGAUUAUACCUAUAUAACAUGUCUGCAGGUCUUUAUUGAUAUAUCAGAGUCACUGAAUGGAUUUGGGAGAACUCUGACUCUAAAAAGAAAUUGUUCAGCACGUUUUAAAGGAUGAGACCACGAAGUGAGGAGGAAGACCUCAGAAAGAUAAACAUGAAUAUGCUGCCUCAAAUCUUUUCACCACAGUGCUGAUGUGUAGAUGAAGAUCUGGGUUUUAAUUUUCUGUCAGCUUCAUCAGGGAUAAAAAAAUAUGACAUCCAAGGAUCCUCCAUGAAGAGCCACCAAGAAAGUCUUCACCUACAGAGCUUCCUUCUACACCCUCAUGGAAGGAUUCCCUGUGCUCCUAGUAGCACCCACCACUAAACUCAAGCCUACCACCAUCCAGAAAGGACUCGCCCAGUGGGACCAGCUGGAGCUCCACCCCAUCCCCCAUCCCCGGCCUAGAUCCAGCCUCUGAGCCUCCAUUUCAUUCUCAGCUCUUCUGAGGCAUUCCAGGGGUGACUGGAUGCCCAAGAGCCUGAGAACCAGAUGGCUCCGGCGUCUUUGCAGACUUGGGACCUGACCUGAGAGCCAGCUCGGGCUGUUUCCAGUACUCAGACUAUGCUUCCCCACACACCCCAGAGGGGUGUCCCACAGCUUUCCACAGCUCAACACCGGCCUGGUGACAGCAUGGAGUAGUGUGAUCAAACUUCCUGCAUCCAGCCUUCCAGAGACUAAUCCUACAGCAUCUCAGUUGUUUGAUUUUCAUUUCCCUGAUGAUUAAGCAUGUUGAACAUUUCUUUAAGUGCUUCUUGGAUAUUCAAGAUUACUCAGUUGAAAAUUUUCUGUUUAAUUUUAUAACAUUUUUUUAAAUUCGAUUAUUUGUUGUUUUGGUGUCUAACCUUUUGAUUCUUUAUAUAUAUUGGAUAUUAGCCCUUUGUCAGAUAGCGACUUGGUGAAGAUCUUUUCUCAUGUUUAGGCUACUGUUUUGUCUUCUUUAGAGUAUCUAUUGCCCUACAGAAGCUUUCAGUUUUAUGAAGUUAUGAUUAUCAACUAUCAAUGUUAGAGCCCUAGCCAUUGUUCUCUUCAAUAAAAUUUCUCCUAUGCCAA
Molecule: small RNA, 5671 nt
Filed under: Rattus norvegicus (Norway rat)
Lineage: Eukaryota; Metazoa; Chordata; Mammalia; Rodentia; Muridae
Description: uncharacterized LOC102555866
Source: RNAcentral